This 211-nucleotide long non-coding RNA is filed under the name Elaeis guineensis (African oil palm). Its description in RNAcentral is "long non-coding RNA (EGUI_LNC016268)". Lineage: Eukaryota; Viridiplantae; Streptophyta; Magnoliopsida; Arecales; Arecaceae. The record is from RNAcentral.
GUACAUGGCAAAAAUAUAAUAUAAAAUUAGUAUUAUUAAUAUAUUGAUCAAAAUAAGUAGUAUAAGUAUUUAAUAUAGCUAACAGUAAAAUCAUAUCUCUUAGGGAAGCAUAGGCCACUAGUAAAUAGUCGUCCACAUAAAAAAUAUGGGAUAUUUUAGGACCCCCCCAAACUUUGUACCCAUGAAGGAGAUGCAUUUGAAUCACUGUGUG